GGAAUAUUGGUCAAUGGGCGAGAGCCUGAACCAGCCAAGUAGCGUGCAGGAUGACGGCCCUAUGGGUUGUAAACUGCUUUUAUACAGGGAUAAAGUGACGUACGUGUACGUUUUUGUAGGUACUGUAUGAAUAAGGACCGGCUAAUUCCGUGCCAGCAGCCGCGGUAAUACGGAAGGUCCGGGCGUUAUCCGGAUUUAUUGGGCGUAAAGCGAGCGCAGGCGGUUUGAUAAGUCUGAUGUGAAAGCCUUUGGCUUAACCAAAGAAGUGCAUCGGAAACUGUCAGACUUGAGUGCAGAAGAGGACAGUGGAACUCCAUGUGUAGCGGUGAAAUGCGUAGAUAUAUGGAAGAACACCAGUGGCGAAGGCGGCUGUCUGGUCUGUAACUGACGCUGAGGCUCGAAAGCAUGGGUAGCGAACA
Molecule: ribosomal RNA, 419 nt
Filed under: uncultured bacterium
Lineage: Bacteria
Description: bacterial SSU rRNA
Rfam family: Bacterial small subunit ribosomal RNA
Source: RNAcentral